RNAcentral lists this ribosomal RNA (253 nucleotides) under uncultured bacterium. RNAcentral describes it as "partial 16S ribosomal RNA". It matches the Rfam family "Bacterial small subunit ribosomal RNA", at positions 524 to 776 of the family's 1533-position model. The record is from RNAcentral.
UACGUAGGAUGCGAGCGUUAAUCGGAAUUACUGGGCGUAAAGCGUGCGUAGACGGCUAUCUAAGUCGGGUGUGAAAGCCCCUGGCUCAACCUGGGAAUUGCAUUCGAGACUGAAUAGCUAGGGUACGGUAGAGGGAAGUGGAAUUUCCGGUGUAGCGGUGAAAUGCGUAGAUAUCGGAAGGAACAUCAGUGGCGAAAGCGACUUCCUGGACCAGUACCGACGUUCAGGCACGAAAGCGUGGGGAGCAAACAGG